RNAcentral lists this ribosomal RNA (400 nucleotides) under uncultured bacterium. Its description in RNAcentral is "bacterial SSU rRNA". It matches the Rfam family "Bacterial small subunit ribosomal RNA", at positions 355 to 747 of the family's 1533-position model. The record is from RNAcentral.
UGGGGAAUAUUGGACAAUGGGCGCAAGCCUGAUCCAGCAAUGCCGCGUGUGUGAAGAAGGCCUGCGGGUUGUAAAGCACUUUAAGCAGGGAAGAAUGGGCUAAAGUUAAUACCUUUGGUCAGUGACGUUACCUGCAGAAUAAGCACCGGCUAACUCCGUGCCAGCAGCCGCGGUAAUACGGAGGGUGCGAGCGUUAAUCGGAAUUACUGGGCGUAAAGCGCGCGUAGGCGGUUGGCUAAGUUUGCUGUGAAAGCCCCGGGCUUAACCUGGGAACUGCAGUGAAUACUGGUCGGCUAGAGUAUGGUAGAGGGUAGUGGAAUUUCCGGUGUAGCAGUGAAAUGCGUAGAGAUCGGAAGGAACACCAGUGGCGAAGGCGGCUAUCUGGACCAAUACUGACGCU